RNAcentral lists this long non-coding RNA (394 nucleotides) under Pongo abelii (Sumatran orangutan). RNAcentral describes it as "lncRNA (ENSPPYG00000029981.1)". The record is from RNAcentral. Lineage: Eukaryota; Metazoa; Chordata; Mammalia; Primates; Hominidae.
AGGAGAUGCUGCUAAACCAAUCAGGAGGAAUCUGCCCCCAUGAUCCAACUAUCUCCCACCAGGCCCCACUUCCAACAUUGGGAAUCAGAUUUUUUUCUUUUUUUCAGGGGAGGCUGGGGAGGAAUCACAUUUCAGCAUGAGAUUUGGAGGGAACAAACAUCUAAACCAUAUCAAAUAACAAUGGAGGAGCUUAAGGAUCUGAGCUACAAGAAUGGAAGCCAGCCAAGGAACCCCAGCAUGUUAAUUGAACUUGAUCACCCAGUUGAAGGAAGAAUAACAGUAGAUGUUGGAUCUUCAGGAAGCUGAAGAGGGCAGUGCCCAGAAAUACCUGUCUAGAUAGGGGGAUUUGAACUGAACCAAAGCAUCAACACCAAUCAGACUGUUUCCAAAGAAC